CAGAGGCGAUGAAGGACGUGCUAAUCUGCGAUAAGCGUCGGUAAGGUGAUAUGAACCGUUAUAACCGGCGAUUUCCGAAUGGGGAAACCCAGUGUGUUUCGACACACUAUCAUUAACUGAAUCCAUAGGUUAAUGAGGCGAACCGGGGGAACUGAAACAUCUAAGUACCCCGAGGAAAAGAAAUCAACCGAGAUUCCCCCAGUAGCGGCGAGCGAACGGGGAGCAGCCCAGAGCCUGAAUCAGUAUGUGUGUUAGUGGAAGCGUCUGGAAAGGCGCGCGAUACAGGGUGACAGCCCCGUACACAAAAAUGCACAUGCUGUGAGCUCGAUGAGUAGGGCGGGACACGUGGUAUCCUGUCUGAAUAUGGGGGGACCAUCCUCCAAGGCUAAAUACUCCUGACUGACCGAUAGUGAACCAGUACCGUGAGGGAAAGGCGAAAAGAACCCCGGCGAGGGGAGUGAAAAAGAACCUGAAACCGUGUACGUACAAGCAGUGGGAGCACGCUUAGGCGUGUGACUGCGUACCUUUUGUAUAAUGGGUCAGCGACUUAUAUUCUGUAGCAAGGUUAACCGAAUAGGGGAGCCGAAGGGAAACCGAGUCUUAACUGGGCGUUAAGUUGCAGGGUAUAGACCCGAAACCCGGUGAUCUAGCCAUGGGCAGGUUGAAGGUUGGGUAACACUAACUGGAGGACCGAACCGACUAAUGUUGAAAAAUUAGCGGAUGACUUGUGGCUGGGGGUGAAAGGCCAAUCAAACCGGGAGAUAGCUGGUUCUCCCCGAAAGCUAUUUAGGUAGCGCCUCGUGAAUUCAUCUCCGGGGGUAGAGCACUGUUUCGGCAAGGGGGUCAUCCCGACUUACCAACCCGAUGCAAACUGCGAAUACCGGAGAAUGUUAUCACGGGAGACACACGGCGGGUGCUAACGUCCGUCGUGAAGAGGGAAACAACCCAGACCGCCAGCUAAGGUCCCAAAGUCAUGGUUAAGUGGGAAACGAUGUGGGAAGGCCCAGACAGCCAGGAUGUUGGCUUAGAAGCAGCCAUCAUUUAAAGAAAGCGUAAUAGCUCACUGGUCGAGUCGGCCUGCGCGGAAGAUGUAACGGGGCUAAACCAUGCACCGAAGCUGCGGCAGCGACGCUUAUGCGUUGUUGGGUAGGGGAGCGUUCUGUAAGCCUGCGAAGGUGUGCUGUGAGGCAUGCUGGAGGUAUCAGAAGUGCGAAUGCUGACAUAAGUAACGAUAAAGCGGGUGAAAAGCCCGCUCGCCGGAAGACCAAGGGUUCCUGUCCAACGUUAAUCGGGGCAGGGUGAGUCGACCCCUAAGACGAGGCCGAAAGGCGUAGUCGAUGGGAAACAGGUUAAUAUUCCUGUACUUGGUGUUACUGCGAAGGGGGGACGGAGAAGGCUAUGUUGGCCGGGCGACGGUUGUCCCGGUUUAAGCGUGUAGGCUGGUUUUCCAGGCAAAUCCGGAAAAUCAAGGCUGAGGCGUGAUGACGAGGCACUACGGUGCUGAAGCAACAAAUGCCCUGCUUCCAGGAAAAGCCUCUAAGCAUCAGGUAACAUCAAAUCGUACCCCAAACCGACACAGGUGGUCAGGUAGAGAAUACCAAGGCGCUUGAGAGAACUCGGGUGAAGGAACUAGGCAAAAUGGUGCCGUAACUUCGGGAGAAGGCACGCUGAUAUGUAGGUGAAGUCCCUCGCGGAUGGAGCUGAAAUCAGUCGAAGAUACCAGCUGGCUGCAACUGUUUAUUAAAAACACAGCACUGUGCAAACACGAAAGUGGACGUAUACGGUGUGACGCCUGCCCGGUGCCGGAAGGUUAAUUGAUGGGGUCAGCGCAAGCGAAGCUCUUGAUCGAAGCCCCGGUAAACGGCGGCCGUAACUAUAACGGUCCUAAGGUAGCGAAAUUCCUUGUCGGGUAAGUUCCGACCUGCACGAAUGGCGUAAUGAUGGCCAGGCUGUCUCCACCCGAGACUCAGUGAAAUUGAACUCGCUGUGAAGAUGCAGUGUACCCGCGGCAAGACGGAAAGACCCCGUGAACCUUUACUAUAGCUUGACACUGAACAUUGAGCCUUGAUGUGUAGGAUAGGUGGGAGGCUUUGAAGUGUGGACGCCAGUCUGCAUGGAGCCGACCUUGAAAUACCACCCUUUAAUGUUUGAUGUUCUAACGUUGACCCGUAAUCCGGGUUGCGGACAGUGUCUGGUGGGUAGUUUGACUGGGGCGGUCUCCUCCUAAAGAGUAACGGAGGAGCACGAAGGUUGGCUAAUCCUGGUCGGACAUCAGGAGGUUAGUGCAAUGGCAUAAGCCAGCUUGACUGCGAGCGUGACGGCGCGAGCAGGUGCGAAAGCAGGUCAUAGUGAUCCGGUGGUUCUGAAUGGAAGGGCCAUCGCUCAACGGAUAAAAGGUACUCCGGGGAUAACAGGCUGAUACCGCCCAAGAGUUCAUAUCGACGGCGGUGUUUGGCACCUCGAUGUCGGCUCAUCACAUCCUGGGGCUGAAGUAGGUCCCAAGGGUAUGGCUGUUCGCCAUUUAAAGUGGUACGCGAGCUGGGUUUAGAACGUCGUGAGACAGUUCGGUCCCUAUCUGCCGUGGGCGCUGGAGAACUGAGGGGGGCUGCUCCUAGUACGAGAGGACCGGAGUGGACGCAUCACUGGUGUUCGGGUUGUCAUGCCAAUGGCACUGCCCGGUAGCUAAAUGCGGAAGAGAUAAGUGCUGAAAGCAUCUAAGCACGAAACUUGCCCCGAGAUGAGUUCUCCCUGACUCCUUGAGAGUCCUGAAGGAACGUUGAAGACGACGACGUUGAUAGGCCGGGUGUGUAAGCGCAGCGAUGCGUUGAGCUAACCGGUACUAAUGAACCGUGAGGCUUAACCU
This 2863-nucleotide ribosomal RNA is filed under the name Escherichia coli 3-267-03_S1_C3. RNAcentral's name for it is "bacterial LSU rRNA". It matches the Rfam family "Bacterial large subunit ribosomal RNA". The record is from RNAcentral. Lineage: Bacteria; Pseudomonadati; Pseudomonadota; Gammaproteobacteria; Enterobacterales; Enterobacteriaceae.